Molecule: long non-coding RNA, 1428 nt
Organism: Cyprinus carpio carpio
Lineage: Eukaryota; Metazoa; Chordata; Actinopteri; Cypriniformes; Cyprinidae
Source: Ensembl
AACAGAAGAAGAAGGUGCUGCAGUAGAGGAAGUUAGCAGAAUAGCGGUAGCAGAAAGCAUGGCUUGACUGCAUUUGUGCUAUGUCCUGGUUGGGAAAUGUUCCAUUUCAAGCUCAGCUUAAAAUGAUGCAACGGUACCUGCUCGGAUCUCUGACUGCCUGAAGGACAUCUCAGCAUGGAUGAAAGAACAUCACCUACUGCUUAAAGACUGAGCGUCUCAUCUUCCCAGCCACCCCAUCAGUACAGCAGCAGUUUACCAUCCAACUGGGCUCAUCAACAAUAAUACCAUCAUGUUCAGCCAGGAAUCUUGGAGUGACCCUUGAUGAUCAGUUGACAUUAAAAGAUCAUAUUGCUAAAACAACACAAUCAUGCAGGUCAAGUAACUGGAGAAGGGGGGACGCGGAUUCAGUAUGUAUUUAUCAAAGCAGCUGUAUUCAACUCUCUCCUCCGUAUUGUAUUGCUUUUUUGUCAUUUCUUUUGUAUCUGCAUUGCUGAUGUUUGGUGGUGGUCCGCAUUUCUCUGAGGGCAAAGCAAAGAUACUUCAUUAUUAUUGUGGUUGUUAUUAUUAAUUAUUAAUGUUAUUUUAUUUAUUUCUUUUUCAUUAUUAUUAUUUUAUUUUAUUUUUAGACUGUCAUCCCCAAGAAAUGUUGCACUGAUAAAUCUCAAUAUGGAUCGUCUGGGUAAAAACCCACAGUAUUAAAAAUCAAGCAUAUGUAAUCAUUUGAAGGGGGUUUCUUUUUUAAAAAAAAUUUCAACUUUCAAACUUGAACAUUGUUUGUAAACAUCUGUAAACAUCAUCUUUUUGUGUGUGUGUGUGUGUGUGUGUGUGUUAAAAUUAUUAACAAUUUGCCAAUUCUGCAAGGUGUAUGCAAACUUUUGACCACAAAUGUAUAUAAUAAUUUGACUGAAUUUAGAAAAAAAAAAAAAAAAAACAUUCUGGUUUUACAACAUUUAAUGAAAUAACAUACCAGUGCAUUGCUGAAUGCCUCUCCACUUGCCCUGGGAAUCACAGAUGAUUUGUACAGGCUCCUCUGGUUCAAAUCCAGAGCGACAUUUAUAUUGUAUUCUUGAAUUGAUUUUGUAAUUUGAAUUUUGACUUCCCACAAUCUCUGCAUUUGGGAAUUUUGGUAGGUCACACAUAAUUUCUAAAAAAAAAAACAGCAACAAACAAACAAACAAACAAAAAACAUCAACAUACUCAUUUACUUGAUAUUAUGUGAAUAACAAAGAUUGUAAUACACAACAGCAGAACACACCAGCACACAGUGGUUUUGGUGUCCAUCCGUCUUGUGUACACGUGGCCUCUGCUGCUGUUUUACGAUAUCCAGACGCACAACUGUAAGAUUGUUUUUCUCCUAAUUUCAUUGUUCCCCAGAAGUAUGGUCUAGACACAUGCUGGUCACGUGGAUAUUCACAUGUAAUCUCUGAA